RNAcentral lists this ribosomal RNA (497 nucleotides) under uncultured bacterium. Its description in RNAcentral is "partial 16S ribosomal RNA". It matches the Rfam family "Bacterial small subunit ribosomal RNA", at positions 28 to 507 of the family's 1533-position model. The record is from RNAcentral.
GAUGAACGCUGGCGGCGUGCCUAAUACAUGCAAGUCGAGCGAACGGACGAGAAGCUUGCUUCUCUGAUGUUAGCGGCGGACGGGUGAGUAACACGUGGAUAACCUACCUAUAAGACUGGGAUAACUUCGGGAAACCGGAGCUAAUACCGGAUAAUAUUUUGAACCGCAUGGUUCAAAAGUGAAAGACGGUCUUGCUGUCACUUAUAGAUGGAUCCGCGCUGCAUUAGCUAGUUGGUAAGGUAACGGCUUACCAAGGCAACGAUGCAUAGCCGACCUGAGAGGGUGAUCGGCCACACUGGAACUGAGACACGGUCCAGACUCCUACGGGAGGCAGCAGUAGGGAAUCUUCCGCAAAGGGCGAAAGCCUGACGGAGCAACGCCGCGUGAGUGAUGAAGGUCCUCGGAUCGUAAAACUCUGUUAUUAGGGAAGAACAUAUGUGUAAGUAACUGUGCACAUCUUGACGGUACCUACUCAGAAAGCCACGGCUAACUACGUG